Long non-coding RNA from Mus pahari (shrew mouse), 2251 nucleotides. RefSeq lists it as uncharacterized. NCBI's taxonomy places the organism in Eukaryota, Metazoa, Chordata, Mammalia, Rodentia, Muridae. The transcript has 3 exons. The record is from RefSeq and is a predicted model, not a curated record.
GACAUCCAGCCCAAAAGGUAGAUAAGAAUGUGGGGCUGGCUAAAUAGAGAACCGGAAGUUGAAGCUCACGUAAGGAGUGGCUGACCGUCCAGCAUAGGAAAAAGACGGAUGAAAUGACCUUGGAGCAGCACUUGAGUUGAAGGCUAGAUAACUUGUGAAGGAGAGCUGACCCCACUCACUUCUGGGCAGAAAUCCUACCCGACAGACAGGAUCCCGUGUGAGACACCAUACAGUGGUUCCUCCAAAUCUGGCUUAAUCGUAAAGCAUCUCCUACCCUGUGCCUACAGAACACUAACAUCAGCUGAGACCUUAAGGAUGCCGGUCACCUAUUUCCUACUCUGAGAUAGCUCUCGCCUACCUAACUUGGGAAGCCCUCCAGCAUACAUCAGCCUGCCAGAAUGCCUGCAAGGCAGCUAAAUCAGGAAGAAAACAAGGUUUGCAUCCGAAGGAAAGGCCACACUUACUUAAGAGGCAUGGUCGAAGAACUGCUGAAGCCUGAAGACACAGUAAACACCCGUAAACGACACUUACGGGGUGCAUCUGCCGCCGAGUCUCUACACCAGCAAUUCUCUCACACACCCUGAGAUUCUUUCUUCCAAGUGGAAGAGGAUGGGAAGCCAACUUUCAGAUUCACAAAAUAUGCCACAGAAAUAUUUGUGCCAGUGCUGGAUUUGGGAGAAAGCAUCAGUUAAAUAUAUUAAGAAAAGCUAUACAAUAAAAAGAAAACCAAUCUUUACAAGAGGAAAGGAAAUUAAUGGCUGUCAAAUCUAGCCUUGUUUUCUUAAAGGCAAAUUUACGGGGACCCAAAGAAGUGAAGUGACUUGCCUAAAGGCAGGCAGCUUCCAGGGGCUAGAACCUAAAGUUCUGAGCUGAACACCUUGAUUUGAACUGAGAUGGCCCUAAGGUUGCCCCUGAAGUGAGUGUGCGUGACAUCGGCGUGGCUGGAGUCCUGCUCUGGAGCUGGAUGGCACUCUGGUGGGAGGACGGAGCGCUGCCUUCAGAGAAACAAGAUCCUUUUGUCUAUGACACCCUGUGACACCCUCCAGACAGGCUCAAAACAUCCAGUUUGCCAAAGCAUUUGGGGAAAAUACAAGAACAGUACAAUAUGUGUAAUACAUGAUAUAUAGAUAAAUGAUAACUAAACAGAUUUGGCAAAAGAAGUGAAAUAGUUUGUGCAUCCAGAAGAAAGCGGGUAAAUUAUCACAGCAAAUGUCUGGGGAAAAACUCCUAAGUCUGCUGUGGUCAACGGGCUUUUGUAGAUCCAAUGGAUUUGGUUAUGUAUUGCAGUGGUCCUUCCUUGUGAAGACUCUCACGGCCUUGGCCUUUUGGCCUUCACCAGUGAGUGAUGCAGCUCUUUCCCUUCACCCUGGCUGCCUGAGGAGCAACAACAUCAUAACUGCCUGAAAGAGGGACCCGAGAGAAAACAAACACAAGCACCCACUCUCUGAAAUCCUCCACCCCAGGAGGCAACAGAAUCUAAGAGAAAGAUACAAGAUCACACACCCUCUACCGAUGCUGAUGCCGUAUUUGUAUCUGAAUUCAGAAUACGCCUUGGUAGCAACGAGAUAAGUGGCUUUAGCAUGUUUUGUGAUUCCUCGGAUGGCACAAAUUAAAAUUAACCCAAAUGCAAACUAGCAAGCUGUGCCAUAGUAUGGGCCAGGAAGUCAGGCAAACAGGAAAAGGAAUAUACAAACCAAAGGAAGGCACUUGGGCUGCAGAAGCCAGUGUCUAACUGGCCAAGGACAGGAGAGAUUGUCAAUGGCUUUAUUUGUAAUGAUUGAGAAAAAUUUUGUGAAAGAGUAAUAAACCACAAAACCUCUUUGAGAACCAUAUUAAAAGAAUGCACAGUCCCAGUGUGUCUCUCCUGACUUACUUCCUUUACCUUAUGCUUAGUUGGCGUCUUGGCUUUCUUUUUAUUAUAAUCUGCAUGAAAGUAUUUAUAUGAAUCUCAGGUUCAAACAAGGUUUGUUUGGUUGUCUAUGAGACAGAUUCUCAUUUUGUAGCCCAGGCUGGCCUCAAACUCAUGAAUAUCUUGCCCCAAAUUCUAGGGUCCUAGGAUUUCAGGCUUGCAAGACCAUACCUGGUUCAAAAAUAGAAUACCUCUUACAGACAGCAUAUAAUUGACAACUUACUCAGUAGUUGUUAUUUUAAUGCACAUUUUGGUCCCAUUUACUGUAACAAACGAUUUGUUACCUAGUGUGAUAUUUUGUACAUUUUCUGCUUAUUCCACUCAUCAACCUCUCCUUUCCCU